GAUGUCACACUGCAGAGGGCUGCAUUGUCACCUUCUGUGUCACACUUACAUUUCUACUUGUUUCUAUGCCUUUGAGACCGUAGAUUAGACACAAUGGCCUGAGGAAUGGUUCUUUAAACUGUAAUCCAUUAGCUGCAAAAAUAUUUUACAGCCCAUAGAGUUUCUUAGGAUGGCUACUAGCCUUGGCAACAGGGAAAAUGGAGCAUCUAUUUAUAGAAGCAAUGAGUGAGGAGUGCAGAGACCUAGAGAUGGACCAAUUAGUAACUACUCUGUCUCGUUAGCAUUCCAUUUAGGAUGGAAUAGAAAAAGGCAAAUCUGAGGAUCAUCUGCAUGAGAUGCUGGAAACAAUGAGUCCAAUCUGAUACUGCCUCAGGGAAAUACAUAAUUACAAAACAGUAUGGGUCCCAAAAUGGGAUCUUGUAGAACCUCAGCAUUAAUGAAUGUUGCAUUAAAGAUAAAGAGGCUUAACUGGAA
This is a non-coding RNA of Phasianus colchicus (ring-necked pheasant), 474 nucleotides long. NCBI's taxonomy places the organism in Eukaryota, Metazoa, Chordata, Aves, Galliformes, Phasianidae. The record is from RefSeq and is a predicted model, not a curated record.